Molecule: ribosomal RNA, 499 nt
Filed under: Sus scrofa (pig)
Lineage: Eukaryota; Metazoa; Chordata; Mammalia; Artiodactyla; Suidae
Description: partial large subunit ribosomal RNA
Rfam family: Bacterial large subunit ribosomal RNA
Source: RNAcentral
AGGCAUGCCUGCCCAGUGACACCAGUUUAACGGCCGCGGUAUUCUGACCGUGCAAAGGUAGCAUAAUCACUUGUUNUCCAAAUAAGGACUUGUAUGAAUGGCCACACGAGGGUUUUACUGUCUCUUACUUCCAAUCAGUGAAAUUAACCUUCCCGUGAAGAGGCGGGAAUAAAAAAAUAAGACGAGAAGACCCUAUGGAGCUUUAAUUAACUAUUCCAAAAGUUAAACAACUCAACCACAAAGGGAUAAAACAUAACUUAACAUGGACUAGCAAUUUCGGUUGGGGUGACCUCGGAGUACAAAAAACCCUCCGAGUGAUUUUAAUCUAGACAAACCAGUCAAAAUAAUCAUAACAUCACUUAUUGAUCCAAAAUUUUGAUCAACGGAACAAGUUACCCUAGGGAUAACAGCGCAAUCCUGUUCUAGAGUUCCUAUCGACAAUAGGGUUUACGACCUCGAUGUUGGAUCAGGACACCCAAAUGGUGCAACCGCUAUUAAA